UCUACGGGAGGCAGCAGUGGGGAAUAUUGGACAAUGGGCGAAAGCCUGAUCCAGCCAUGCCGCGUGUGUGAAGAAGGCCUUCGGGUUGUAAAGCACUUUCAGUGGGGAAGAAAGCCUUGGGGCUAAUACCCUCGAGGAAGGACAUCACCCACAGAAGAAGCACCGGCUAACUCCGUGCCAGCAGCCGCGGUAAUACGGAGGGUGCGAGCGUUAAUCGGAAUUACUGGGCGUAAAGCGCGCGUAGGCGGUCUGAUAAGCCGGUUGUGAAAGCCCCGGGCUCAACCUGGGAACGGCAUCCGGAACUGUCAGGCUAGAGUGCAGGAGAGGAAGGUAGAAUUCCCGGUGUAGCGGUGAAAUGCGUAGAGAUCGGGAGGAAUACCAGUGGCGAAGGCGGCCUUCUGGACUGACACUGACGCUGAGGUGCGAAAGCGUGGGUAGCAAACAGGAUUAGAUACCCGGGUAGU
This 464-nucleotide ribosomal RNA is filed under the name Vreelandella stevensii. Its description in RNAcentral is "partial 16S ribosomal RNA". It matches the Rfam family "Bacterial small subunit ribosomal RNA", at positions 338 to 794 of the family's 1533-position model. The record is from RNAcentral. Lineage: Bacteria; Pseudomonadati; Pseudomonadota; Gammaproteobacteria; Oceanospirillales; Halomonadaceae.